AGUUUGUUAAAUAUGUUUUAAUACUAAUUACUGUACACUUUGUGUAAUACUUAUAACUGUGGCUGGAAAAUUGUUAAUUUUAUAUUAUAAUUUCAUUGCUUAUACAUUCAAACUAUUUGAUUAGUUAUUUAAAUGUUAACUCUUUAGAGAAGUAGGCUUAACAAUAGUAAUAAACUAAAUAGUAUACUGUAUAGUAUUCUAUUUCUAGUAAUGAUUAACUUUGUAAAUCGCAAUAUAUUGCCGUUGUAAUACAUUACGAGACGAUAUUGUGUUUAUAUUUUGAGAAUUCAUUGAUUAUACACAAAGGAAAAGAAAAUACUUAAUAAUUUUAGUCAUUGCAAAUUCCAUUGUGAGUUUGAGUAUAAGUAUAACUUAAGUUACGACAGUGAAUAACAGUAACACUAACAAUAUACUUUUUUUUUAACUUUUACUCUGUUUUAGGCAUUGAAAUCUGUUAUUCAUGUAAGGUGUAAGAUAAUCAUGAAGGACUAUAAACUAAAAUCUAUAUUCAUAGUAGCGAGACUGUAAGUUGUAACACUCAAUAUUGCAACUAAACAUUAAGUCGUAAUGAAUCAUUAAAUGAUUAAUGUUUAUUACAACUUAUAAGUGUUAGUAAUAUCGAGCUUACUCGGUUUUGUAAGGCCUAACUAAAAAGCUGUUACUGUUAGUUGUAUGUAAGUUUAAGUGUGGUUUUAGGCUUAAUUUUCUGUUCUACAUAUAUUAAUUAUAGAUUAGUGUAUUCAGAAAAGCGAUUUUUAAGUUACUGUCAACUGUAAAAAAAAAAAAUACUGUUGCUGGUCAACUGGUAAGUUAGCAUGCUACUCUUACUAAUACUUUGAGUUUGAGUAGGACUGCUGCAGUGCUAGUACUAAUAGAAAUUAGUAUGGCAUACCUAUGAAGUAAUAAAUUUUCUUUGGUGGAAUUUGGUGUAGUCUUAAGUGUAAGUCCUAAAAGAGGGUUAAAAUUCAACUGCAAAUAAUGAAGAAAUGAAAACUUAUCUUAGGUAAAAAAGUUAUUUAGAUUUCUUAUUUUUUGAGGCAGGUACGAGGUCGAUCAAAUUGACCAAGCCUGUAUAGUAAUGGUAGAGAAAAUAACCAGUAUAAAGUUUCACAGAAAAAAAACAACUAAUGUUUAUUUAGGAGGUUCUUUAGGUUAGGCAACUGCUAAAAAGUGGUUUAAUCUUAAGAUGAAAAUUGCCUUGCAUUCACAAUAGUUUGAGUCAGACUGACUAUAUAAAUUCAUAGAUAAAUCUUUGUUUAAUAUACUUAAUGAAAAAAUUGGAUAUUUUGUGUACAAGAUACUUGAAAUGUUUACUAAAAGCCUGCCAAAUUUUCUGAAGAUCCACUUACUGCAUUAAAAGUUACAGUAUUUAUACUUCCAUGGUUACCUAUUUGUUACAUGGUUGUCACAAGGUUAAAAUGACUAACGCUGUAUCGAUAGAGUUAAAGCAUUUUAUUUUAUUUUUUACGUCAUAUUCUCGAGUAGAGUGAAUGAGUUAUGGAAAGAGUUGCUGUUGGCGGUAGUUGAGGCACAUACUGUACAGGAGUUUACUUGGGCAACCUUGAAGGACCAAAUGGCCCAUUGCUGUCUUGGAUUCUUGGUUGCAAUCUGAGAAACUGACAACUUUCCACGGAACCAGAAUGUGGAAAGAAACAAAGGAAUCGGGCAGGCCCAUGUGUCCAGUGUGUCACAAGUCAUUUUUUGACACCAGCAAUCUCAGACGACACAUGGAGAUCCACAACCCUUAUCGGAAGUCGCACGUUUGUGUCGUUUGUAGGAAAACUUUUGCGUGGAAGACCCAUUUAGCCACUCACACAAAGAACGAGCACCCCGAUAUUCAGUAGUGUGGAUCUUAUGAAGAGUUAUUAAUUAGGUUUUAAACCUGAAAUUUUGUAGCUAUAUAUAUACGUUUCAAUAAAAACUUAACUUUUCUGACCACA
Molecule: long non-coding RNA, 1940 nt
Filed under: Limulus polyphemus (Atlantic horseshoe crab)
Lineage: Eukaryota; Metazoa; Arthropoda; Merostomata; Xiphosura; Limulidae
Description: uncharacterized LOC111086933, transcript variant X2
Source: RNAcentral